GGCCGUUCGACGGCACAUUUCCCUGACACGGAAGAGGUCACUGGUUCGAUCCCAGUAUCGCCCA
RNAcentral lists this transfer RNA (64 nucleotides) under Curtobacterium sp. SGAir0471. RNAcentral's name for it is "tRNA-Val". RNAcentral also lists the same sequence under 1 other name. Lineage: Bacteria; Bacillati; Actinomycetota; Actinomycetes; Micrococcales; Microbacteriaceae. The record is from RNAcentral.